GACGAACGCUGGCGGCGCGCCUAACACAUGCAAGUCGAACGGAGAUACCUGUUAGAUCCCUUCGGGGUGACGAUGGACUAUCUUAGUGGCGGACGGGUGAGUAACACGUGAGCAACCUGCCUUACAGAGUGGGAUAACGUUUGGAAACGAACGCUAAUACCGCAUAACAUUAACUUAUCGCAUGGUAAGAUAAUCAAAGAAAUUCGCUGUAAGAUGGGCUCGCGUCUGAUUAGAUAGUUGGUGAGGUAACGGCUCACCAAGUCGACGAUCAGUAGCCGGACUGAGAGGUUGAACGGCCACAUUGGGACUGAGACACGGCCCAGACUCCUACGGGAGGCAGCAGUGGGGAAUAUUGCACAAUGGGGGAAACCCUGAUGCAGCGACGCCGCGUGAGGGAAGAAGGUUUUCGGAUUGUAAACCUCUGUCUUCAGGGACGAUAGUGACGGUACCUGAGGAGGAAGCUCCGGCUA
This 470-nucleotide ribosomal RNA is filed under the name uncultured bacterium. RNAcentral's name for it is "bacterial SSU rRNA". It matches the Rfam family "Bacterial small subunit ribosomal RNA", at positions 28 to 499 of the family's 1533-position model. The record is from RNAcentral.